Non-coding RNA from Paramuricea clavata, 2932 nucleotides. The record is from the annotation of a GenBank genome assembly. NCBI's taxonomy places the organism in Eukaryota, Metazoa, Cnidaria, Anthozoa, Malacalcyonacea, Plexauridae.
GACCAGGGUAAUACCCCUGGGUAGAAAUAUAGUAGCUCAAUUUACCCAGUGUAUUAGCAUUUAUUGUGUUUUUAUUAACUUAUUUUAGGAAGAAGUUUCUGUAUCAUCACAAGAGCUUGGCCAUUGACCUAUUUGGCUGGUCAUGAACUCAUGAUAAGAUCUUUGUAUCGAAAAAGCAAAAAUUGUUCCAGGUGGCACUCCCAGAGAAGCAAAGAAAUUCAAGCCUCGAUGUAUUCAAUGCGAACUGCAACAGAGGACAAUGAGUACAUUUAAUCGUUGUGGUGGCCUUUGGUCACCUCAUUUAUGGCUUGUAAGUGUAAUGGAAGUUAGUGAGUUAGUUUUUAGUAAGCACACAAAUAAAGACAAGGUCACUUGUUUCCCAGUAGACAAAAUAGUGAAUGAAGUAUUGGCUUCUUCCCUUGUGAAAAACUUGUGGUGCAAUAUUAUUGCAAAUUAUGAUAUGGAAAUCUCUAAAGAAUGUCAGUUCCUGUGUUUAGAAAAUAUUGUAAAGUUAUAUGUUACUGUUAGAUGUUUUCAUUUGCCAAAUAUACUGUAAAUAAUGUGUGACUAGUGAAGUGAUGUAUUAAUCAAUAUUAAAUGUAUUCCUUGAACCCUUUUGCCACCAAAGAAGUACAUUAGUUUUUUUAAGAUCACGUGUCACCAAAUGUCCAGCUUAAAUAUAAUCUAGGGUAUUGAAAAACCAUAACCAGUCACUGUCACCACUGUGCUGUCACACAUGGUAUGUGACACAUUUGAAGUGCAUGAUCACAUGAUCUACUGAAAUCUAGCAGGUUUCUAAUUAGCAAUCCAACCUGAGGUUUAUAAAUAUUUGAUGUUUGGAUGAUUUUUAUAGUUUAAUUAAUUUUAUGAGAUGUAUUUUGUAUGAUUGUCGUAAGUAAAGGAGUCCAAUAUAGUUAAUUAAAAAUCUGCUAAAUUUUAUGAGAUUUUAGCACGUCAUGUGACAAGCACCUACCAGGGUCUUUUCUCCCCAAAAGAAAAGAUCCUGGAUACAAGGUUGGUCGAGACAUGCAUUGUUACUAAAAUAUUUAUUGCAACUGAAUGCUAAAUGUAAAUAUUUUUUAGUAGGUUUUAAUUGCAAAUAUUUAUAUAGUGAUGAAAAAAUAUUUACACUAAUUAACUACUACAUUUCAGUUUAAUUAAUUAAAGGGUAUUAUUAUGGAGUAAAUCUAGCAUUAUUUGAAAGAGAUACACUUAAAUACUGAUUGGAUAGGAAUGAGUAUUUAACACUCCUUGUGAAGUGCUACAUCACCUUUCACUGUGGUCAGCUUAUAAGCAAUCCUCCCCAAGCUAACUGAUUCAGGGACAAAUAUUGCUGUUUAGCCAAUCAUAAUGAAGCGCAAUCUUACUAAUAUACUGUAGCACUUCAUGGGAGUGGUAAUAGACCUUAAAAGUGCUUAUAUCACACAAUUUUGAAUCAAUAAAAACAUUAGGUAUAUUUUGUCCUGCAUGUUUCCCACAUUGCAUUGCAAUUUAUUGUUUAGCACUGAUAUGACUUACUUAACCCAUUCAGUAACAUUGUGCCAUGAUGGGCCCUACUUUACUCUGUCUAAUGCCAGACUAUUUUACUCUGUUUAACACCAGACAAUUUUAUUUGUCAAGGGUAGAGUGUUGGUGUUUAAUGGGUUAAGCACUUCUAAGGUACUGUUAAUUUUGAAAAUUCUUAACAAGGUAAACUGUUAGAUCAUUUUUGUGGCAUGAAGUACAUAUUGGUGGCAGCACUAAAUUGCUUCAAAGUUAUAUCAUGCAUAGCUAGAUCAAGCAAAAUUAUAAUGAGCUUUAGCUCAUUUGUUUUAACAGCAUGGAAAUUCUCUAAAUUUAACCCUUUAAGUGGCAAUGUACCCAGAUGCAUCCUACUUUAUUAUUUUACUCUGUCUAUUACAGUAAUGCCAGAUGAUUUUACUCGUAGCACUGUGCACAAUACAAUAGUACCUCCAUAAGAAAUGUUCAAUAUGUCUACAGACUUCAAGAGUUCUCGCAAAAUGAUCAAUAUUUUGCAUUACUUGUUAACUAUUGUUCUCAUAACAUGUUCAAGAUCACUAUUUCUUAAUUGCUUUAUGUUCUUCUCUUUGGGCAAUGACUCCUCACUGACAUUACACAUUUACACCACUUGCUUCGCUUUAAUACCAGAAUGCCGUCCAGAAUUGAAACAUUUCCUUGAAUGGUUGUCAGCUGCUGUUGGGUUUUACAGUAAAAUAUCAUUCCUUCUCCCUUGUGCUCGCUGGUAUUAAACCGAAAUACUCUUAAACAUCGUAUAUCAUCCUGGAAGAACCGUUCUGUGAGCACAAACUCAAAUCCUUCGCUCAACAAAAACCUUGUCAGGGCAACAACUGAAUUUACAGUCUCUUUAAUUGAUAGUCCAGUAUUAAAAGGUUUGGGCAAUCUUAUUACUGCCUGGUUUUGCCUGGUAGAUAUAAGUUGUUCUCACGUUAUUGCCUCUUUCGCACAGUUUUAACUCAUUGCUUACGAAAAAAAAUAAGAAUACACGUACGACAAUCAAUGUAUUUCAAUCUUGGGAUGUUUCUAUGCUCGAAAACAUGCAGCUCGCCUUUAAUAUCGAUCUGGCGACGUAAACUUUUGUCCAUAUGUCGAUUCUUUGUAAUUAUGUUUCCUAACCAAGCCUCUCGAGCUCUAGUUGAUCAUUCGUCUUUGCCAGACGGAAUUCGAAAGAUUCCGAGCCCAACAUGCGUUCUGCUUGUUCCACAACCAAAUAUUUAGCAAUUGGCUCGAGGCAUUGUAAAACAAUCGCCAAACCAACAGCUUUUUUCGCUUCGCAUGUCAUGGUAUAAAUUCGACACUCAUUGUAUAGAAUCACUAUGGCCAUUGUUUACGAUCUUGCACGCAAUGCACUAUAUGUUCCACGUGACCGAAAAUCCAACAUAUUUCGUCACGUGACCCAGCCUUCCAAACCCGG